RNAcentral lists this ribosomal RNA (274 nucleotides) under uncultured prokaryote. RNAcentral describes it as "partial 16S ribosomal RNA". It matches the Rfam family "Bacterial small subunit ribosomal RNA", at positions 524 to 797 of the family's 1533-position model. The record is from RNAcentral.
UACGUAGGGGCAAGCGUUAUCCGGAUUUACUGGGUGUAAAGGGAGCGCAGACGGCAGUGCAAGUCUGAUGUGAAAGCCCGGGGCUCAACUCCGGAACUGCAUUGGAAACUGUACAGCUUGAGUGUCGGAGAGGUAAGCGGAAUUCCUAGUGUAGCGGUGAAAUGCGUAGAUAUUAGGAGGAACACCGGUGGCGAAGGCGGCUUACUGGACGAUGACUGACGUUGAGGCUCGAAAGCGUGGGGAGCAAACAGGAUUAGAUACCCCCGUACGUCCU